UGGGGAAUAUUGCACAAUGGGCGAAAGCCUGAUGCAGCGACGCCGCGUGAGGGAUGAAGGCCUUCGGGUUGUAAACCUCUUUCAACAGGGAAGAAGCGCAAGUGACGGUACCUGCAGAAGAUGCGCCGGCUAACUACGUGCCAGCAGCCGCGGUAAUACGUAGGGCGCAAGCGUUGUCCGGAAUUAUUGGGCGUAAAGAGCUCGUAGGCGGUUUGUCGCGUCUGGUGUGAAAACUCGAGGCUCAACCUCGAGCUUGCAUCGGGUACGGGCAGACUAGAGUGCGGUAGGGGAGACUGGAAUUCCUGGUGUAGCGGUGGAAUGCGCAGAUAUCAGGAGGAACACCGAUGGCGAAGGCAGGUCUCUGGGCCGCAACUGACGCUGAGGAGCGAAAGCAUGGGGAGCGAACA
RNAcentral lists this ribosomal RNA (407 nucleotides) under uncultured Cellulosimicrobium sp. RNAcentral's name for it is "bacterial SSU rRNA". It matches the Rfam family "Bacterial small subunit ribosomal RNA", at positions 355 to 774 of the family's 1533-position model. Lineage: Bacteria; Bacillati; Actinomycetota; Actinomycetes; Micrococcales; Promicromonosporaceae. The record is from RNAcentral.